UCGAGAGACCCGUAUAUUGUUUAUGAACAACACACCGUUUUAAGGUUUGGCCUCUUCUUCAAUUUCUGACACCAAAAACAGUUCUUCUGCGUUGUUCCGUUUCCUCUUCUAAUCAGCUGAAACGCUGAGAGUUACAGAUCCAUAGACUUUUUCGUCUUUUUAACUCCAAAGAUCAAUGUGAAGCACGAUCUUACAUUAAAGGCGUGUUUGCUCUCUGUAAGACGGUGUAUCUACACCAAUAUAAAGGUUAGCAUCCAUCACUUGAAUAUCUAUACAUGUCAUUUGUUUUUUCUCUAUCAGACCAAGCUCUCUCUACUUUGCGGUUAUAUGGAAGCGAUCUCUGCUUCACUUCAAAACCCUAAUCUUAUCCCCAAGAUCUCUCUUAAUCUCUUCUGGUCUUUUUUCUGCAACCACCACGGAGAUUCCGGAGCCUUCUUCUGUUUCUGUAAAGGAGGUGCCGGCUAAAUCUCUAACGAAAAGGUCCUAUGUGUCUGAUAACAGAGGAGACGAGACUGAUUUGCCAACUACCACGACGAAUAUCCUUCUUUCAAGAUGCUAAGUGAGUUAAUGGAAAUUGGUAUCUGAAACAAUUCAAGGCAAAACAGAUUAGGAUUCGGUAAUAGUUGCUGGUUAGAUCCCCCGAAGCUCGAAUCUUUAUUUCAGUUCUGCACUCAUUUAUAGGCAAAGAGGAGAAAGUGAGUUGAAAAUAACCCAGAAACAACUGCAAACGGUCUUUUCUCUUCGAUACCUCGAUUAUCCCAUGGUCGUGCUGCAUGAUAGGGUUCUUCGUGGCUUACGCUUUGAUGAAUCCGGAACUUUUGUUGGUAUUGAAAUCUAGAGGUCUGUUUGAACUUUGAAGGUUGAAACAUGGGUUUAAAGAUAUUGUCCAAGAGAUUGAAUCUGAAGUGAGCUGCAAGCUGGAGCAAGGUAAACCUGGGAUGCUGUUAGACAAGAGAUUGAUAAUUUAUAUAUAGUGCCCUUUAAUUGUUUUUUAAAUGUAGCAAGUACCAGCUGAAUCAAAGAUCCUGAAACACUCUUUCGUCAGAACAAAAACUCCACUUAAUUGUUUUUUUUUUCUUUUCCGUUC
Molecule: long non-coding RNA, 1087 nt
Organism: Raphanus sativus (radish)
Lineage: Eukaryota; Viridiplantae; Streptophyta; Magnoliopsida; Brassicales; Brassicaceae
Exons: 3
Source: RefSeq, a predicted model, not a curated record